CUUACAAAUACUUCGUUUACUUCAAGCCAUCCACCACUCCCAAGAAAAACAAUUCUGCCGGUUACGGUUUGCCACGAACAGAGCUUCAAAGUUCAACAGUAGAGGUAUCAUGUGCCCCAAAGUAAGGACAAUGAGCAUCACAAUAGAAAUGAGGGGAAGUACAUCAGGGUGCCUUUUCACAUAAAAAAGCUGCAACCCCACAAAGACACAUGCAAAUGUAUUAGAAAUCAGAACCAAUGUGAUCUCCAGAUCCAUUCUCCAAAUGGAUUCUGCUGCUUGGCUCAAGUAGAUAGAACUUGAAGACAAUUCAAGACGCUGAAAAUAAAGCUGGUCUGACUUUCCUCGUGUGCUUUCAAUUGUUCCCUUGACACUAUGUCCACCUGCAUUCAAUGGAGCGAAUUGCACAUUGACAAGAAUUUUGCAGUCCAGUGAAUCAUUUUUUGUUGAUGGUUUAUUUGAUUGCAGAUGCUGACACCCUACCAUACACAGGACACCGGUUUCCUUAUCAUAUAUCCCUUCUGCUGAUAUUUCUACCGAUCUAGAUGAAGAAAUCUUACCCACCAACAUGAGACUAGUUGAAGGUGUGAAGCUCAGCUUGUAGCUGAUAUUUACCACACUGUUGUGGCUGGUGCUCACUAGAGCUUCAGACCCUCCCAACCUUGGUGAAUGAGGGCGAAAUUUCCCAUAUAAUUGAUCACCCACAAACUUAUCACCCACAAAUAGAGGGAAUGCAUGACCCCAUCCUACUUGCCCCUUGCUGUUUCUAACUGACAUGUCAAAUCUCAUGUCUAACGAAUGCCCGUCAGGGUAUACCUGUCCCUUGUGUUUAACCCCCUUUUUCUUUGCACAAGCUUUACUUAUGCUGUCAGCCUCA
Molecule: long non-coding RNA, 874 nt
Filed under: Vitis vinifera (wine grape)
Lineage: Eukaryota; Viridiplantae; Streptophyta; Magnoliopsida; Vitales; Vitaceae
Description: long non-coding RNA (VVIN_LNC008144)
Source: RNAcentral